RNAcentral lists this ribosomal RNA (253 nucleotides) under uncultured bacterium. Its description in RNAcentral is "partial 16S ribosomal RNA". It matches the Rfam family "Bacterial small subunit ribosomal RNA", at positions 524 to 776 of the family's 1533-position model. The record is from RNAcentral.
UACGUAGGUGGCAAGCGUUGUCCGGAUUUACUGGGCGUAAAGAGCGCGCAGGCGGUCGUUCAAGUCGCGUGUGAAAGCCCCCGGCUCAACUGGGGAGGGUCACGCGAUACUGAUCGACUCGAAGGCAGGAGAGGGUAGUGGAAUUCCCGGUAUAGUGGUGAAAUGCGUAGAUAUCGGGAGGAACACCAGUGGCGAAGGCGACUACCUGGCCUGUUCUUGACGCUGAGGCGCGAAAGCUAGGGGAGCAAACGGG